CUGUCAUAGUAGCACAGUGCUUGUGUUCAAGUAACCCUUAUUUUACUUCGUGAUGGCCCCGAAGCGCAAGAGGAGGGAUGCUGGUGAUUCGGAUCUGCCAGAAAGAGGCUGCAAAGUGCUUCCUGUAAGCGAAAAGCUGAAAGUUCUCAAUGUAAUAAGGAAAGAAAAAGAAAUCAUAUGCUGAGGUUGCCGAGAUCUAUGGUACUCAGGGAGUUUUGAGAUCUUCCAAGAUGCCAUCAAGGAACUGAAAAGUGCUGUCCAGCUGCAGUGAGGGCUUUUUAAAGGCAGUUCCAUGUCUAUACCCCACUGAGUUCAGACUGUCCGAUGAACCACUGACAUUGUUACACAUGCGUAUUGUGGACAACCUGAGGAAACAUUGUCUGCGAGAAGAUGAAAUUAAAAUCAAGUGUGAUCCUACCACCGAAAGAUAAGCGUUACUGAUAUUGUUUGUUAAUAACAUUCCAGUUUUUUAUGUAGUUUUGGGGUAGCUUAUUAUUUUCAUGUGAUUUCAAACUUGGAGAAAGUUUCCAAGAUGAGUCCAAGGAGCUCUCAUAUGCUCCUCACCCAGAUCCACCAACUGGCCACAUUUUGUCCCAUUUGCUUUAUUAUUCCUUCUACCUCUCUCUCUCUAAAGUAUUAUUAUAUGUUAAAUAUAUCUUAAUAUAAUUAUAGUUAUGUUAAAUAUAUCUUAAUAUAGUUACAAAUAAUUAUGUUAAAUAUAUCUUAAUAUAAUUAUGUUAAAUGAUGUUAUGAAUAUUAAAAUUAUAAUUUAAGUAAUAUUCUAAUAUAGACAGACAUUUAGUUUCUGAACCAUUUGGGACCACGUUGAAAACAUCAUUUUCCUUUACACCGUUUUCCUUCAGUGCCAGAGGGGAGCAGAGCCGUGAGAGGUUGUUGGGGGAUCCUGGACCAGGAGCAUCCCCGUUUCCUAGAAUAAGAUAAUUCUCUUAAAUAACUACAGUACCCACAUAGAAAUCAGGAAAUUUAACAUUGACACUAUUGAUUAAUGCACAGCCCAUAAACAAAUUAUAUCAAUCCAAUAAUUUUUGUUUGUUUUUUUGUUUUUUUUUUUAGAUGGAGUUUCACUCUUGCUGCCCAGGCUGGAGUGCAAUGGCGCAAUCUCGGCUCACUGGAACUUCCACCUCCCGGGUUCAAGCGAUUCUCCUGCCUCAGCCUCCCGAGUAGCUAGGAUUACAGGCAUGUGCCACCACUCCUGGCUAAUUUUGUAUUUUUAGUAGAAACGGGGUUUCUCCAUGUUGGUCAGGCUGGUCGCGACCUCCUGACCUCAGGUGAUCCACCCUCCUCGGCCUCCCAAAGUGCUGACAUUACAGGCGUGAGCCACCACACCAGGCCCCAAUAAUUUUCUUUAUAGCAAUUUUAUUUCCUGGCUGAGCAUCCAGGCCAGCAUCCCCCAUUGCAUUGACUUUUCAGGUCUCUUUAGUCUCCCUUAAUCUGGAAUUGUUCCUCAGUCUUUAUCUUCCAUGAGCUUAGCAUUUUUAGAGAAUAUAGUCCAGUUAUUUUACAAGAUGCCCCUCAACUGGGGGUUGUCUGACAUUUCCUCAUUAUUAGAUCCAGGUGUUGCAUUUUGGGAAUACAAAAUCCCCAGAAGUGAUGUUGUGUUCUCAGCACGUCAUAGCAGGAUGCAGAUGAAGUGGGCCUGCCCCACCAUGGGUGGUGUUAAUGUUCACCACUUGGUUAAGGACAGAAUUUUUUUUUUUUUUUGAGACAAGGUCUCGUUCUAUCACCCAGGCUGGAGUGAAGUGGUGCAAUCAUAGCUCACUGCAGCCUCAAACUCCUGGGCUCAAGCAAUCCUCCUGCCUCAACCUCUUGAGUAGCUGGGACCACAGGUUAUAUCUUCUAGAAAAAGAGCAGGACCUGGAAGCAGGAGAGUUGAAAGGUCAAGAACACAUGCUUUGGGGUCAGGCAGACCUGCUGCUGAGUCCUGGCUCUGCUGGGGGACUUUGGUAGGGGCGGGGGGCCCACGUCACUGGGUCUCCGUUUUCUCAUCUGUAAAGUAGGAGAUAAUAGCAGGGUCCUGGUGAAGACUAAAUGAGACACUGUGUGCAAAGGGCCUGCUGCACAGCCCUCAGUCAGCGUUGCUUGUGACGGUUGUUUCGUUAUUGUCACUCAGUUGCCUGAGGGGAACAUUCAGAGAGACUUAUUGGCAGGACGUGUACAAAGAGGACAGAAGAGCAGAUACAGCCCUCCAAGAGUGAGCUGCUGAGGACGAGAGCUUCCGAAUGUCACCUGCUGCCAUGAGGUCAGCAUGGACGAGGGUCAGCGUGGAUCUCCGGUUCUACUAGGCUGCCAAAGUAGCAGAGACAAGCUUCAAUCCUAAGAUAUUUAGGACCUGACAAAUACCCCAUCUCAAGAACUUACGGAAACCUCAGCAUGGACAGCCUGGAGUGAAAGGACGCUUACUUCCUAGGAAGGGCAUUUCUGCUUGGGAAAUGCUCAGCUGUGCCUCAGUUUCCCUUAGUCUUCCUCUGAGCUGCAGGUGCUUGAGACUGAGAGGCUUUCCAGACUUCCCAGAGGGGCAGACUUGAUGGUGCUUCGUAUCUCCACACAAGAGCAACUAUUGUAGAUCCUCACCUCAGACAGUGCUGAUAGAAACACCCACACCUGCUCGCAGCGGGUCUGGGCUUUCCUAGUCAGUCAUUUUACCCUCAGGGUGUAGAGAUAGGAGAAUGAAACAAAGAUUGCACAGCCCUGGUGAAAAGGAGAAAUUCAGGGAGGAGGAAUGAGGGAUCCUCUUUCUUGUGUGUGGGUGUUAGCUUGCCUCCCAACCAC
Pongo pygmaeus (Bornean orangutan) is the source of this 2790-nucleotide long non-coding RNA. RefSeq lists it as uncharacterized. The transcript is spliced from 4 exons. The record is from RefSeq and is a predicted model, not a curated record. Lineage: Eukaryota; Metazoa; Chordata; Mammalia; Primates; Hominidae.